AUCUCCUUUGACGAUGUGCCCAAACCGGAGCCGGGUGCGGGAGAGGUGGUCGUGCGAGUUAACGCCGCCGGUGUCGGGCCCUGGGACGCGUUGAUUCGUAGCGGCAAAAGCGUGUUUUCGCAGCCGCUUCCUUUGAUUUUAGGAGGUGAUAUGUCCGGCGUGGUUGAUUCGCUCGGUCCCAGCGUAGCAAAUCUGAAAGUCGGCGACGAAGUUUUCGGCGUGACUAACGAGCAUUUUACCGGAGCGUACGCGGAAUACGCGGUCGCCGAA
RNAcentral lists this unclassified non-coding RNA (270 nucleotides) under Ascomycota sp. Its description in RNAcentral is "partial internal transcribed spacer 1". Lineage: Eukaryota; Fungi; Ascomycota. The record is from RNAcentral.